Molecule: non-coding RNA, 366 nt
Organism: Zonotrichia albicollis (white-throated sparrow)
Lineage: Eukaryota; Metazoa; Chordata; Aves; Passeriformes; Passerellidae
Source: RefSeq, a predicted model, not a curated record
UAACAAGCGGGGUGUUAAAGGUAACGGAAAGGAAACACAUCCCUUGUUGUUGAAGGAUGCAGUACCAAGCCGAAGGAAUUUUAUAUAAGCUGCAGGCUCGGGGUGAUGGGAAAGAGGAGUGACCCAGGACAGCACCACCGAGUCACCCCCACCGUGCCAACGCCGGCAAUGGGAAAGGGAGGAGAUGGAGGCACUGAGUCUGCACAUCUUACUCGUCUGAACUCCAGACUUCAUUUCACAAGGAGACCAUGUACAGAAAGAAUCAAUUCAAAGAACUUACAAAUUACUAAGUGUCCCACUGGCAAUAAAAUUGCCACAGAGUUUAAUACAAUCACCCACAGAGUUUAAUACAAAAGUUGUCGUGUU